GCAGGAAUGUCAAGGUUUCUCUUAAUAUUGAGGAAAGAGUCGAAGACUACUGGUACAGAAGGAGGCCUGUUGGUGGCUUUAGAAAAGAAGGAGACAGGAGGAUCAGAAUCAAGGGUGAGACCCCAUGCUUUGUCCAUAAAUCAAGAAAGAGAGUAAGAGAAAGAAAAGGAGAGAGGGAAAACAGAGACCAAAAGCACAGAUAGAUAGAGAGAGAGAGAGAAAGAGGUGUUAUGUGUGAGAAGUCUGUGAAGUCUUUCACCG
RNAcentral lists this unclassified non-coding RNA (261 nucleotides) under Hevea brasiliensis (rubber tree). The record is from RNAcentral. Lineage: Eukaryota; Viridiplantae; Streptophyta; Magnoliopsida; Malpighiales; Euphorbiaceae.